GACAGAGGCCCCAAGCGUUAGGCGGAAUCACUGGGCUUAAAGCGUGUGUAGGCGGAUCGUUAAGUGUCUUGUGAAAUCCCACGGCUCACCCGUGGAACUGCUGUGCAUACUGGCGAUCUUGGGCCAACUAGGGGCAGUCGGAACAAGCGGUGGAGCGGUGAAAUGCGUAGAUAUCGCUUGGAACGCCGAAGGUGAAAACAGACUGCUGGGGUUGCGCCGACGCUGAGACACGAAAGCCAGGGGAGCAAACGGG
RNAcentral lists this ribosomal RNA (253 nucleotides) under uncultured bacterium. Its description in RNAcentral is "partial 16S ribosomal RNA". It matches the Rfam family "Bacterial small subunit ribosomal RNA", at positions 524 to 776 of the family's 1533-position model. The record is from RNAcentral.